UACGUAGGUGGCAAGCGUUAUCCGGAAUUACUGGGUGUAAAGGGUGAGUAGGCGGCAUGGUAAGCCAGAUGUGAAAGCCUUGGGCUUAACCCGAGGAUUGCAUUUGGAACUAUCAAGCUAGAGUACAGGAGAGGAAAGCGGAAUUCCUAGUGUAGCGGUGAAAUGCGUAGAUAUUAGGAAGAACACCAGUGGCGAAGGCGGCUUUCUGGACUGAAACUGACGCUGAGGCACGAAAGCGUGGGGAGCGAACAGG
RNAcentral lists this ribosomal RNA (253 nucleotides) under uncultured bacterium. RNAcentral's name for it is "partial 16S ribosomal RNA". It matches the Rfam family "Bacterial small subunit ribosomal RNA", at positions 524 to 776 of the family's 1533-position model. The record is from RNAcentral.